Molecule: ribosomal RNA, 477 nt
Filed under: uncultured bacterium
Lineage: Bacteria
Description: partial 16S ribosomal RNA
Rfam family: Bacterial small subunit ribosomal RNA
Source: RNAcentral
AUGAACGCUAGCGGGAGGCCUCACACAUGCAAGCCGAGCGGUAUUUGUUCUUCGGAACAGAGAGAGCGGCGCACGGGUGCGGAACACGUGUGCAACCUGCCUUUAUCUGGGGGAUAGCCUUUCGAAAGGAAGAUUAAUACCCCAUAAUAUAUUGAGUGGCAUCAUUUGAUAUUGAAAACUCCGGUGGAUAGAGAUGGGCACGCGCAAGAUUAGAUAGUUGGUGAGGUAACGGCUCACCAAGUCAAUGAUCUUUAGGGGGCCUGAGAGGGUGAUCCCCCACACUGGUACUGAGACACGGACCAGACUCCUACGGGAGGCAGCAGUGAGGAAUAUUGGACAAUGGGUUAGCGCCUGAUCCAGCCAUCCCGCGUGAAGGACGACGGCCCUAUGGGUUGUAAACUUCUUUUGUAUAGGGAUAAACCUACUCUCGUGAGAGUAGCUGAAGGUACUAUACGAAUAAGCACCGGCUAACUCCGU